CUCCUAGUACGAGAGGACCGGAGUGGACGCAUCACUGGUGUUCGGGUUGUCAUGCCAAUGGCACUGCCCGGUAGCUAAAUGCGGAAGAGAUAAGUGCUGAAAGCAUCUAAGCACGAAACUUGCCCCGAGAUGAGUUCUCCCUGAGACUUUAAGUCUCCUGAAGGAACGUUGAAGACGACGACGUUGAUAGGCCGGGUGUGUAAGCGCAGCGAUGCGUUGAGCUAACCGGUACUAAUGAACCGUGAGGCUUAACCUU
This 256-nucleotide ribosomal RNA is filed under the name Klebsiella pneumoniae. RNAcentral describes it as "partial 23S ribosomal RNA". It matches the Rfam family "Bacterial large subunit ribosomal RNA", at positions 2675 to 2925 of the family's 2925-position model. RNAcentral also lists the same sequence under 1 other name. The record is from RNAcentral. Lineage: Bacteria; Pseudomonadati; Pseudomonadota; Gammaproteobacteria; Enterobacterales; Enterobacteriaceae.